AGACGUCUACAUUAGAUACCCCGGUAGUCCCAGCCGUAAACUAUGCGCGUUAGGUGUAUCGGUGACCACGAGUUACCGAGGUGCCGAAGGGAAACCGUGAAACGUGCCGCCUGGGAAGUACGGUCGCAAGGCUGAAACUUAAAGGAAUUGGCGGAGGAGCACCACAACGGGUGGAGCCUGCGGUUUAAUUGGACUCAACGCCGGGAAGCUCACCGGAUAAGACAGCGGAAUGAUUGCCGGGCUGAAGACUCUGCAUGACUAGCUG
Molecule: ribosomal RNA, 265 nt
Filed under: uncultured archaeon
Lineage: Archaea
Description: partial 16S ribosomal RNA
Rfam family: Archaeal small subunit ribosomal RNA
Source: RNAcentral